CACCUAUUAGCUAGCCCACCCAACCAAAAACAACAAAUCACCAUAAAUAACCCCAAAUACACAACCCCCAUCCAACCAAACCAUUUCUCCCCCCUAGUAUAGGCGAUAGAAAAGGAACCACGGCGCAAUAGAAAAAGUACCGCAAGGGAAAGCUGAAAGAGAGAUGAAACAGCCCAGUAAAGUCUAAAAAAGCAGAGAUUACCUCUUGUACCUUUUGCAUCAUGAUUUAGCCAGAAACCCCAAGCAAAGAGCACUUUAGUUUGACUCCCCGAAACUAGCGUGAGCUACUCCAAGACAGCCUAUCUAUAGGGCAAACCCGUCUCUGUGGCAAAAGAGUGGGAAGAGCUUUGAGUAGAGGUGACAGACCUACCGAACCUAGCAAUAGCUGGUUGCCUGAAAACUGGAUAUAAGUUCAGCCUCCCGGCUUCUCCAUUCACCCCACCCCAACAGAUACUAAAGAACACCGCGAGAGUUAGUCAAAGGGGGUACAGCCCCUUUGAACCAAGACACAACUUUACCAGGUGGGUAAAGAUCAAAAUAUACCAAGGAAAUAUGUUCUGGUGGGCCUAAGAGCAGCCAUCCAAAUAGAAAGCGUUCAAGCUCAGACAUCCUCUUCCCCAAAAAUCCCGAUAACCCAAUCUUAUCCCCCUAAACUUAUCAGGCCGCCCCAUGCAACCAUGGGGGUGUCCAUGCUAAUAUGAGUAAUAAGAGAGUCACACCCUCUCUCCCCGCAUAAGUGUAAAUCGAAACGGACCCCCCAUCGAUAUUUAAACGGCCCCACACCAAGAGGGCAUUAGGAGGCAAACCAAGUGAACAAGAAAAUCGCCUAAUAAUAUAACCGUUAACCCCACACUGGUAUGCACCUCGGGAAAGACAAAAGGAAAAAGAAGGAACUCGGCAAAUACACAACAAGCCUCGCCUGUUUACCAAAAACAUCGCCUCUUGCUAACCAAAAAUAAGAGGUCCAACCUGCCCAGUGACCAUGUGUUUAACGGCCGCAGUAUUUUGACUGUGCGAAGGUAGCGUAAUCACUUGUCUUUUAAAUGGAGACCUGUAUGAACGGUAAAACGAGGGCUUAACUGUCUCCUUUUUCUAGUCAAUGAAAUUGAUCCCCCCGUGCAGAAGCGGGGAUACAAACAUAAGACGAGAAGACCCUGUGGAGCUUUAGACGCCAGAGCAGACCAUGUUAAACACCCCAAACUAAAGGAAUAAACUGAUUGGAUGCUGCUCCCAUGUCUUCGGUUGGGGCGACCGUGAGGAAAUUAAAAAACCCUCCACGUGGAAUGGGAGCAACAAUCCCUCGAAGAUCUUUCUCUUCUUUGUCUCCCACAACUAAGAGCCACAGUUCUAAGCAACAGAAUAUCUGACCAAUAGAGAUCCGGCAAAGCCGAUUAACGAACCAAGUUACCCCAGGGAUAACAGCGCAAUCCCCUUCUAGAGCCCAUAUCGACAAGGGGGUUUACGACCUCGAUGUUGGAUCAGGACAUCCUAAUGGCGCAGCCGCUAUUGAGGGUUCGUUUGUUCAACGAUUAAAGUCCUACGUGAUCUGAGUUCAGACCGGAGUAAUCCAGGUCGGUUUCUAUCUAUGAAAUGAUCUUUUCUAGUACGAAAGGACCGAAAAGAAGAGGCCCAUGCUUAAAGUACGCCCCACCUCUACCUAAUGAAAACAUAUCAACUAGGUAAAAGGCAUAUCCCUCCGCCCAAGAAAACGGCAC
Molecule: ribosomal RNA, 1715 nt
Filed under: Psettodes erumei (Indian spiny turbot)
Lineage: Eukaryota; Metazoa; Chordata; Actinopteri; Pleuronectiformes; Psettodidae
Description: 16S ribosomal RNA
Rfam family: Bacterial large subunit ribosomal RNA (bases 108-1604)
Source: RNAcentral